Long non-coding RNA from Carassius gibelio (silver crucian carp), 4358 nucleotides. RefSeq lists it as uncharacterized. NCBI's taxonomy places the organism in Eukaryota, Metazoa, Chordata, Actinopteri, Cypriniformes, Cyprinidae. The transcript has 4 exons. The record is from RefSeq and is a predicted model, not a curated record.
UUUAUGCUAAUUGCAGCUUAUGCACCAGAUAAAAAAAAAUGUAUUUAGAAUAUAUAUAUAUAUAUAUAUUUAGUUUAGAGUGUUGAUGUCAUCUUAACCCUGUGUGUGUGUGUGUGUCAGAAGCAGAACAGUUCAAUCAAAAACAAAGAGUCUGCUACACACACAUACACACACCCACACACCCACUCACCUACACACACACACACACACACACACUUGUUUUUCUUCCACUUUGGGGACUUUCCAUUGGCUUUUGUUGUUUUGAAUACUGAGCUAAUGAUAUGUCAUAUCCCCUAACCCUACAAAUGACCUUUUUCAGUUUCAUUAAGAUGUUAUUUUGCUUAUUAUUUAGCUGUUUUCCCUCUUGUGGACCAUUAGUCACGACAAUGUAGGGACUUCAAGUUUUAACAUCCUUUUAGCAACAAUUGGCCUCUACAUUGUAGCUAGACCCAGACACACCACAGCUGCACCCCACUUUCCACAGAGUUCAUUUGUGAGAUGCUAUACGAUGUUAAACUGUCAGUCUAACCUUGGCUAAUAUGUAGUUAAGUAGUCAAAAUGUAUUUAUUAGAAGUUAUGCACAGAAGUGUUUUGGUGCUGUUGUCAUAUCAGACAGUUCUGCUCCUACACCAGAGAGAGUCUGUCGGUUUUACUAGAAGGUCCAGUAAUGGCAUUUUUAUGAAAAAUUAUGAGGUCCAUAAAAAAAAAAAAAAAAUAGUGUAUGUGUAUAGUAUAGUGCUGUCCCACAGUUCUAUGAUUGAUAUAAAAUAUCAAAUGGAAACUCUUAACCUAAAGUUAUAAACUAAAAUUUGUGGUAAAUUUCUCAUAGUGAUAAAACUGAUUUCCUGUGAUGUAUUAGAUUGCAACGGUUAUCCAUCUUACUCUUCCAAUUUUAAUAGAUGUUUUCUGUUCAGAACAAUUCAGGGUUUGUGCACACCAUGUUCAAAACUGAUCUGAGAUGAAUCAUUAGAUUUAGCUGGCUUGGUUUAUGGAACAUAGCUGCCAGUUAAUUGCUCAUGACAUACAUGUAAAGUACACUUUUAGUCUAUUUUAAACAACAUGAAUGAUUCAGUGUAAUCAAAAGAUGAGGUCAGCCAACUUAAAUCAGUCAAGCUAAUCAUUUUCUAUUACUAAUCUGAAUAAACUCAAACCGCAUUGUUGCAACCGUUCUCCAGAACACUCUGCACAGGCACAAAGUUUGAAAGAUGAAAAAUCACAUUUUGAGACAGGGGUCCCUGUAAUCUAAACCCACCCUUGAGGGACACCACCCAUCACAUUCAUUCCUUCAUCUGUCAGGCUCCUGGUACCGGCUUGUUGCCAUGGUAAUACCGUCUGGUGGUGCAUUCGGAAGAGCUGUAGAGUCGUAAUUGGCCUCAGUCCUGGGUGAGAUUUUGAAUAGCUACUUCCGUGCCAUUGCUCUUGUUUAAAAUAACUAUUGAAUACUGAUUAAAGAUUCUGUUUUUAGGAUAUAUACACAAAAUACUGAGCCGAGAUGCAGGAGGAAAAUGGAGGCAAUUUUCUUUUUAUUUGUAUUUUCUCUUGCUUAACAUUUGCAUCUCAUUAAAAAAAAUUAUCGCCCUCUCUAUUUAUCACUCUAUCUAUAUCUCUGUUUCAUAGUCUCUCUCCUGCCAGCAAAUACACAUGCAUGCAACAGGGCUGAUGGUUCGAUGAGUCACCAUCUGUUGUGUUCUAGGUGCUGACUUUUGCACCAAUCUCAUAUCUGAGGUCAGACUCGCCUCAGCUGGUGGUCUUCUUCUAGUUGAUGUGACAUUUCAAGUGUCCUGCAGGCAGGGUUGGCGCGUUUUCACAACAAAACCUGUCCAAUUGCUACUCAAAACUAGCAGAAUAACUUGUCGAGGGGGGUCCACAGGUAAAAAACUUGAUCUAUUUGUUGGAGGGGUACCCCAGGUAAAAUUCACAUUCCAAUUGCUAAAUAUCACGUUUUUAGGGUGCUUCAACCUGCGGACAUGAAAACCGUGGCAACCCGUUAAAUUAUCCCAGUUCCACAGGAAAACUGCAGACUCGGCAACAUUGCCUGCGGGGUGAUAAUUUCUCUAUAGUUCCUCUAAAACUAUUUUUGUCGAACAACAACAACAAUUAUAAUAAUAACUGCCAGUAAAGAAAUUGAUAUUGUUUUAAAUAAUUAAUAUUAUAAAUAUUCUAUAAUUUAAUUAUAAUUGAUUAAUAUAAUAUACAGAUAUAAUAUGAAUUAGUAAUUUAUCAAAUCAAUAAGUAACUAUUAAGUAAUUAAUGAGUAAUUAUUGACACACGCUGACCUCAUAUAAGAUUGAGAACUUUCAAUAUUUAUACUUAUUAUAUUCUUGUACUGUUUUUGUACUAUAUAUUAUUACACUGCAUGAAGAUUGAAUUUAAUUAAACUAGUCGCCGCAGACUGAAAGGUUCUUUAAAUGUAAUUUGCUAAUCUAACUAUCAAGUCAUUUACUAAAUGGCUGAAGCUGAUUCGCUGCUGAUUCUGCAGCCAAUUGCACAACAUUCUCUGAAACCCUCCACCUCCCCCUGCUCCACCUGUCUCGAACUGCUAUGGGAUUUAUGUAUGACUGUUUAUGCAGCAGCAGUAUAUCUUACAUGCUCACACAUCUCUGACUCUGUUACAAUUUGCAAGUCCAUACUUUUAGCAGUUCGUAGCAGAUCUAGUCCACCAAAACCAAAUACAUUAACAUGCUAAACUAUUCUAUAAAUUGUCAUUAUUGAAGUUAACCCUAACUUAAAUUAUCUUGAAAAUGUCUGUAUUAUAUGUCUUUAUUUCAUACUGUACUGCAUACUGUACUUCAAGAGGAAUUAAACUAUGGUAUUGUGCUGUUUUAUAAACUGCUUGCCUUGGAUCCAUCAUAUUAUAUUGAUGAAUUUAUAUAUCAUUCAUCAGCAAUGUCUAUUCAUAGGUCAGUAUAUGAGCUACCAUGUGUUUGCAGUUGAAGAGGUUUAAAAGGUGUUGAUGAGUCAUAUCAGUGAAAGGAAAGACUAAGCAGACGGAAAAUAGAUGCAGUCAGCCUAGGUUUAGCUUGCCAAAGACUGAGAUUAUUAAAUGCAUUUAUGCAAUCAAUGUUCUGAGCCGUCAAUAACAAAGGAGUUUCAAAUCAUCUCAUAUGAACAGAAAGAGCCCAGAGAUUAUUUAUUUGAAGCUGAGAUGGCAUUCAUAAAUGCAUUUAGCAAACAUCAAUAUUUCUACACAAGCAGUUGAAAAUAUGAUGUGUGCAGAAAGAAAAAUACAGAAGUUAGUCACAAGCUUAUUUACAAACUUGAUACAGAAGCUUUUUUUUUUUUUUUUUUUUAAGAGAUCAUCCAAUGAGCAUUCACUUCACUGGUUUGCUCCAAAUUUUGGAUCGUAUACCACAAAUCAUAACGUAAAUGGAGCAAUGGUUUAUUAAACACUUCACUAGAAUAAUAAAACGAGUGAUGUUUAACAUUUAGUGAAUAGCCUGUAAUAAAACCAAGCAGCAUCUGGGUCACAUAGAUGAAUAAAUAAAAAUAAAUACAUAAAUAAAAAAAUGGAUGUAUGCACCAUUCAAACAUCUAAGACAACUUGACAACACUUUUAGAAAAUGUAAAAUGUUGUUGUUUUGGGAUAUUCAGAUUCAGGUUUCUUUUUUACCUCACAAAUGUCUCAAUCUCAGCUACGCCUACAGUACCUUGCCAUGGGAUUCCCGCCAGACGCAAUUUGGAAAGGGUUUGUUCGAUGACAAAUAUUCCACAGAGACUUGGUACAAAAAGUUGUGAAAAUGAGCCAGGCUUCUAAAGAAGACCCAUCAUCUCUGUGGACCAAUUACAGUUAUCAUCCUAUCAAACAAAAGAGAGACAUUCAGCGACGAAGACCGUCUUUGGGAAGUAUUAUCAUGGCUAAUAUUAUUGUUCUCUAUAUCUCUUUUUAUAUCUUCAGAUAAGCAGUAGCGCUUAUUACAUUAUCUAAAGACACAGCUGAUUUCCCUCCUCAAUCGAGACAUGGACAGAACAGAGAACAAAGUGUCCACCAUCUCCCCGCAAAAACAGACAGUAAAAAAUAGAUCCAAGUCCACAGAGGAGGUACAGCAAGCCAAAAAGGCCUUUCAUACACCACAAAAAUCUCUUCCGGCUAAAUCAGAAACCGAACAACUAGAGGAAACCUCAGAACUGAGUGCCUCAUCAGAGGAGUUCAAAUGAUUGCUGGAUUCAAACUUCGGGGCUUUGAGAUUUAGACAGCUCAACUGGAAUUAUGGGUAAUAACAAGAGGAUGAUUCAGUGUCUCCAUUUAUAAAAUAGUGACUCAGUUCUAAUUAGUUUAGUUAUCAUAGAAGAAAACAAUAAUCAUGUGUUCUUGAAUUUGUAUGAGUCUGAUCAUGUUUGUGAAAUAAAUGCAUAACUGG